AACGAACGCUGGCGGCAGGCUUAACACAUGCAAGUCGAGCGCAUCCUUCGGGGUGAGCGGCAGACGGGUGAGUAACGCGUGGGAAUGUACCCUUUGCUACGGAAUAGCUCCGGGAAACUGGAAUUAAUACCGUAUGAGCCCUUCGGGGGAAAGAUUUAUCGGCAAAGGAUCAGCCCGCGUUGGAUUAGCUAGUUGGUGGGGUAAAGGCCUACCAAGGCGACGAUCCAUAGCUGGUCUGAGAGGAUGAUCAGCCACAUUGGGACUGAGACACGGCCCAAACUCCUACGGGAGGCAGCAGUGGGGAAUAUUGGACAAUGGGCGCAAGCCUGAUCUAGCCAUGCCGCGUGAGUGAUGAAGGCCUUAGGGUUGUAAAGCUCUUUCAGUAGGGAAGAUAAUGACGGUACCUACAGAAGAAGCCCCGGCUAACUUCGUGCCAGCCGCCGCAGUAA
This 449-nucleotide ribosomal RNA is filed under the name uncultured bacterium. Its description in RNAcentral is "partial 16S ribosomal RNA". It matches the Rfam family "Bacterial small subunit ribosomal RNA", at positions 29 to 523 of the family's 1533-position model. The record is from RNAcentral.